Molecule: ribosomal RNA, 404 nt
Filed under: uncultured bacterium
Lineage: Bacteria
Description: partial 16S ribosomal RNA
Rfam family: Bacterial small subunit ribosomal RNA
Source: RNAcentral
GACGAACGCUGGCGGCGUGCUUAACACAUGCAAGUCGAGCGGAGCGGCGAACGGGGGAGUAACGCGUGAGUAACUGCCCCCCUCCCUGGGAUAACAGUUGGAAACGGCUGCUAAUACCGGAUAGUGGGGGAUGACUCGCGUCCUAUCAGCUUGUUGGUGGGGUAGUGGCCUACCAAGGCGACGACGGGUAGCCGGCCUGAGAGGGCGACCGGCCACCUUGGGCUGAGAUACGGCCCAAACACCUAGGGGAGGCAGCAGUGGGGGAUAUUGCACAAUGGGGGAAACCCUGAUGCAGCAACGCGCGUGCGGGAUGACGGCCUUCGGGUUGUAAGCCGCUUUCAGCCAUGACGGUGUGGUGACAGGAGAAGCACCGGCUAACUACGUGCCAGAGGACGCGGUAAUAC